UGAACGGACACACUGGAACUGNGACACGGUCCAGACUCCUACGGGAGGCAGCAGUAGGGAAUAUUGCUCAAUGGGGGAAACCCUGAAGCAGCAACGCCGCGUGGAGGAUGAAGGUUUUAGGAUUGUAAACUCCUUUUGUUAGAGAAGAUAAUGACGGUAUCUAACGAAUAAGCACCGGCUAACUCCGUGCCAGCAGCCGCGGUAAUACGGAGGGUGCAAGCGUUACUCGGAAUCACUGGGCGUAAAGAGCGCGUAGGCGGGAUAGUCAGUCAGGUGUGAAAUCCUAUGGCUUAACCAUAGAACUGCAUUUGAAACUACUAUUCUAGAGUGUGGGAGAGGUAGG
Molecule: ribosomal RNA, 343 nt
Filed under: uncultured Helicobacter sp.
Lineage: Bacteria; Pseudomonadati; Campylobacterota; Epsilonproteobacteria; Campylobacterales; Helicobacteraceae
Description: bacterial SSU rRNA
Rfam family: Bacterial small subunit ribosomal RNA
Source: RNAcentral